AGUCUUUAAGGUCUUUACUGAUCAUGUGAUUGGGUCCUGGGUAAAGUGAUCUCGUGUUCCUUGGUUGUCUUCGGGGUUUUAAGCUUUAAAACAACCUCUUCUGGGCUUCAAAGUUCUUUUUAUUUGGUCCGUCCCACCACGGGUUAUUCACAAGCUUCCCAGUGAUUACAAGCAAGGCCUACGCUUGUCUUUCCGGGGUGAAUCCCACGUCAGGUGAACGAAGAUGUAUGUGAUUGGCCAAUUAGGUUAUCUCCUAGGCAACCUCUAACACACGUAUCUAAGCACUGAAGGCUGAUUUGCUGUGUCAGGAAGCAUGGCCUAGGGGUCUACACUAGGACGAUGGCUUUUCUUUUGUUCCUGCUUUCUUUCUUUCUGAAUUCAUCCUUUGCACAAUAUGGCUCGCUUCAUCCCUACGGAAAUAGCAGAGGACACGUUUACCUUGUGACUUACCCACAGACAGCGCUGAUAGGAGCAUGCGCCGUGCCUCGACUGGAUCGCAGCACCACUCGGCCAUUUCUUGAUCUCUUUCAUACAGGUGUCCAUGUCACUGCCUAACGGUUUCUCUCACCAAAAUAUAAAAGAUUAAACGGUGCUAAUUUAGCUUCACAAGCAA
Molecule: non-coding RNA, 613 nt
Organism: Rattus norvegicus (Norway rat)
Lineage: Eukaryota; Metazoa; Chordata; Mammalia; Rodentia; Muridae
Source: RefSeq, a predicted model, not a curated record